GCCAAAAGUGAGGGCAAACCGACGAGCCAGUUCCUUAAUUCCACUGACAUGGGCAGAUGUCCUGUCCAGAUUAGGACCUUGCUCCUGAACAAGUUCAUUGAAUAGCUGUUGCAAACUGAGAAUGAGUGUCUUUGCACACUGGAUUUUAUCAAUUUGCCUUGUUUUGCUCAGGGUUUCCUUAAUGAUAUCUCCGUAGUCAUUGUAGUACUUCAUAUAGUGUUUGAAGAUAUCAGCUGCUGCAUGCAUGUCCACGAUGUCAUAAAUUAUCAGCUUGCUAAAGGCAGCCAGAAGGUUUCUUCUCUUAUGUAAAGCUUCUAUUUUGUUAGCUUCAUCUUCUU
RNAcentral lists this long non-coding RNA (338 nucleotides) under Gallus gallus (chicken). Lineage: Eukaryota; Metazoa; Chordata; Aves; Galliformes; Phasianidae. The record is from RNAcentral.